GGACACGUGGAAGGAUUUGUGACGAUUGCAACCACGCAAAAAAAAUGCUAAAUCUUUGUCA
Molecule: non-coding RNA, 61 nt
Organism: Porphyromonas crevioricanis
Lineage: Bacteria; Pseudomonadati; Bacteroidota; Bacteroidia; Bacteroidales; Porphyromonadaceae
Source: Rfam